RNAcentral lists this ribosomal RNA (694 nucleotides) under uncultured bacterium. Its description in RNAcentral is "bacterial SSU rRNA". It matches the Rfam family "Bacterial small subunit ribosomal RNA", at positions 32 to 715 of the family's 1533-position model. The record is from RNAcentral.
AACGCUAGCUACAGGCUUAACACAUGCAAGUCGAGGGGCAGCAUGAACUUAGCUUGCUAAGUUUGAUGGCGACCGGCGCACGGGUGAGUAACGCGUAUCCAACCUCCCGUACACUCAGGAAUAGCCUUUCGAAAGAAAGAUUAAUACCUGAUGGUAUGAUGAGAUUGCAUGAAAUCAUCAUUAAAGAUUCAUCGGUGUACGAUGGGGAUGCGUUCCAUUAGAUAGUAGGCGGGGUAACGGCCCACCUAGUCGACGAUGGAUAGGGGUUCUGAGAGGAAGGUCCCCCACAUUGGAACUGAGACACGGUCCAAACUCCUACGGGAGGCAGCAGUGAGGAAUAUUGGUCAAUGGGCGCGAGCCUGAACCAGCCAAGUAGCGUGGAGGAUGAAGGUCCUACGGAUUGUAAACUUCUUUUAUAAGGGAAUAAAGUCACCCACGUGUGGGUGUUUGUAUGUACCUUAUGAAUAAGCAUCGGCUAACUCCGUGCCAGCAGCCGCGGUAAUACGGAGGAUGCGAGCGUUAUCCGGAUUUAUUGGGUUUAAAGGGAGCGUAGACGGGUCGUUAAGUCAGCUGUGAAAGUUUGAGGCUCAACCUUAAAAUUGCAGUUGAUACUGGCGUCCUUGAGUACGGUUGAGGCAGGCGGAAUUCGUGGUGUAGCGGUGAAAUGCAUAGAUAUCACGAAGAACUCCGAUUG